UCAACGGUUCAGAAGAUUCCUCCGGAGCAAUUUUGCUGGCAUGGUUUUGUGAUAACUAAAGCAUUAGCCCUUGGGUUUAGAAAAGAAGUGUAUAAGCAUCUUGUUAAUUGUUUCUUGAUCAUCAGGCAAACCAUGCAUAAAUUGGUUUUCUGUCAAGCUUUCGCCUUACAUAUUUUCAUGUAGCAUACACUUAUAGUGGACACAAUACUUUUAAUUAUAAUUCUCCUUUGAUUAUAACUGAUAUUGUUUAGAGCAAUUAGAAUGAUUGAUGGUUGAAAUUAAACUAUGUUUGCUUCACUAUUUAACAUUAUUGGUUGUAAGAGCAAUUAGAAUAAUUAAUGGUUGGUUCUGAUUUAUUUAUUUAGUUAAAGAUCUAAUGUGAUUUCAAACCCUUGAUUUCUUUUGCUCUAUUUUGUCGUGCAAGAAGAUACCCUUAUUGUUAGGCUUCAUGGAUCAACGUCAAUCUGCAAAUGACAUAAGCAGUGUAAUACUAAGGCAACAAUUGCAGCUCAUUGCAUCAAGCGGAUAAAGGACAAUUAUGAAUUCAAAUUCAACAGAUAGCUUAGAUUGCUGGAAUAGUUUGAAGAGCGGAACAAAAGAAGAGAGUAUAUAUUUUUUCAGAUUUCUGAGCUCUGGAACCAUUGAAGCCCUUAAGAAAUGUGACGCUGAUAGCAUCAUGUGGUCUACAAGUAGUAUUAGACAAUGGCAUUGCUCGAGUGACAAUAUCUAAACCACGAGAGAUUGUUACUGGACUAGCUUAUAAUGGCAUUGACAAUUUGCUUGAAUCUCGAAAUCUUGAGGACCAUAGAAGCAACAACUUUUCAGGUGAUUAUGUUACAUGAUGAUCAGGUGGAAGAUUUCUUUUGUAGACAGUGGGAUCCUUCACUCAAGGGCAAGUUAUUCCCAUUGAAUAUUGAUAAAAGGUCUAUAAUGCUUCGUGGCUCAUCCAGGUCAUAUACCUAUGAAAUCUAUGAGCAUAUGAAAGAUUGACCGGGCUUCAGCUUGGGUGAAACUAAGGUCACAUUCAAGCUCAAUAAACGGUGGUAUAAAGAAACUGAUUUCUUUGGACAGGUUUCACGGCAAACCAAAUUAAUUAGAAGAAAUUUAGGCAACAAAGCAUGAUAUGUUUAGUCCUGAGGCUGUUCUGUUGACAAGCCCUGUUAAACCAAACAUUAAAGGAGAGAAGAAUCAACCAAAGUAGCAGUGACGACUUACUCAGCCAUGGCAGAUCAAAAAUGCAAAACAGCUAGACAGAAGCCAGAGUAUGUGUACUUGAAUCAGUUAAAUGCAGCAUGCAAGACUUAUAUAGUAAGAGUAG
Molecule: long non-coding RNA, 1318 nt
Organism: Chenopodium quinoa (quinoa)
Lineage: Eukaryota; Viridiplantae; Streptophyta; Magnoliopsida; Caryophyllales; Amaranthaceae
Exons: 8
Source: RefSeq, a predicted model, not a curated record